Non-coding RNA from Heterocephalus glaber (naked mole-rat), 2676 nucleotides. Lineage: Eukaryota; Metazoa; Chordata; Mammalia; Rodentia; Bathyergidae. The record is from RefSeq and is a predicted model, not a curated record.
ACAGCCUUCCACCCAGUGAUGUCUAAGGGACAGUCCAAUCACCCACAGGGUGUGGCCCCAGAAUGAGAAAAAUCCUUUGCAUUGCAAACAUUCUGGCUGGGAGGAGGACGCUUAGAGAAGGGGAUCCUGAGUCAGGCACUUUGUGAAACAGUCCGUUUACUCUGUAACCCAGGGAAAGCCAGCCCUUGGCAUGAGGUAUGGGAGUGAGGCCCCUCUGACCCCUAAAUCUCUUGCCAGAAACCUGUCUGCUGCCUCAGGGUCCACCAUGAGUGUGAAUAAGAGUCCUAAUGUUUCCUGACAUACUGGUGUACUAAUCUGGCCAUUAAGUCACUGGUGAUCCACAACCAAUCUGCAUAAAUAAAACCCAGUUCUCCUCUGUCAGUGUUUGCCAGCUACGCUCCUCCCUCUGAGACCCUUCACCUGCCCCUGUGAAAGCCCAGCCACAUCUGGCCCCAACGCCCUCAGGCAGAGGCAGGAGCAUGGAGCCUCCUGGGUCAGGACAGCUCUGCUUCCUCCAGCGCACUUCCAGGCAACCAGGCAGGGUCCAUCCUGUCCUCCAGAACUUGGUCAGCCCCUCCUUGACAAGGCUGCCUAGGGGAGAGAUCUCGCACAGGGUGCCUGAAAACUCUGAGUGGUGUUGUGAGGACACUGAAAGAACAAAAAACCUUCAGAGGAAGUGAGGAAGUGAGGCGAUCCCAAGAGCAGCACGUGAGUGGGGAGUUCUUCGGUGCCUGCGCUCCCUCUGAGGUCUUCAAAGCGGACACAAGCAACCUACAAGGCCCAGAAUAGAGACAGGAGGCUUCCCACCGAGGGGCGACCUGAGUUACACCUUGAAAAGUGCUUAGGACUCUGUCAGUCAAUCCCCACAAGGAACCAGGUGGUCAUGGGCAAGCGAAGAGAUCAGAGAAGACGCUGCAGGCACCACCACACUCAUUCCUUGUACGUUGCCCCUUGCUGUCUCCGAUGUCUUUCCUCAGGAGGCCCUUCUCCAACACCGGGGUCUCCCAUCCCCAGUGCCCUCAGCUCCUGCCCUCUGCCCAUCUGCCUCACUCCAGUCCGGGGCCUCCAAGAGCACAAGCCGCAUGACCAGCCUGUACCCACAGAAACUGCCAGUCACAUCUUACUAGUGCUUGGCAUGCUAAUUAAACCAGAAAAAGCAAAUAAACACUCCCAGUCUGACCCUGGGGAGAACAGAUGAGGCAGUUAGCUAUGAGAAGAUGGGGUGUAACCCUAAAAUAAAAACCAGUAGAGCUAGAAAGAACUCUCCUUCGAAGAGAAUGCCCCACCUUGCUCAGUUUCCCUCCAGCACAGUAAUUCCCAGGACGCAUCUGUUUAUACCAGCAAGUGCAGGCAUAAGCAAUGGAAGUGAAAACCGUACCUCCCAGCUACACCAUCUCUGUCCAGUUACUCACAGCUACUUAUCUGUCUCUAUCAAAUAACACAUAUUAAACUGGCACCUCAACAAACAAAUAAAAUCCGGUUAAUUUCCUGGCAGGAAAUCCCAGUGUAGUUAGUCAGCAGCUCUAGUCCCUAACCAGCAUGGUGAACUUUAGCAGGCCUACCUUGCUCCAUGCCCAUCAACAAAACCUUACACCAAGCCACUGCUUCUCUCUCCUGAACCACUGCACCAGCUUCUCACUGAUCUCUCUGUCAUUAGUUUUUCUCCACCAAGAAUCCUCACUCUGGAGACCCUGAGCAUAAAGAUCCUUCUGAAACCCCAAAUCUGGCCUACUCUUCCUUGCUUAAAUCUCGUAACCUUGGGGCUUGUAACCUUGAGUUUAGCUCUGUGGUUAGCAUGUGCAAGGCUCUGGGCUCCAAAAAUAAAAAAAUCUGUCCCCCUUUUCCUGUGCUGUAGGAAAUAAUUGAAACACCUAUGUACAACGUACAAAGUCAUUCAUGAUCUGACCUGCUUACCAUUCAGACCCAAAUCUCACUGCUCCUCGCUGAAGUUCGAUGUUCCAGCCAUGUUCACGUGCCCAGGGCUCCCAGGACAAUACUAGUAAAUGCAACCACAACAACCAACAUUUGACAGGGUCUCACUAAAUCACCAAGUUUCCCGGGCUGGCCUUGAACUUGCCAUCCUCCUGCCUCAACCUCCCAGAGUGCUGGGAUUCCAGGUCUGCACCACCUCACCUCAUUCUUAAUUCACUUGUUGAGUGACCAAAGGAGAUUUUCUUCUCUGAGCAUUACUUUCAUCAUCUAUAACAUGGAGCCUACAUUUCUGCUCUAUCCCCUGCCCAGUAGUGGGAUUCAGCCCAGGAGCACUUUACCAUCACUGGCCUUCUUAAACUUUUUAAAAAUUUUUUGAGACAAGGUCUCUCUAAAUUGCCCAGGUGGAACUCAAACUUGUGAUCCUCCUGAGUCAGCCUCCCUCAGCUCUGGGAAUAAAAGCAUGUUACACCACACUCAGUUUAUAAUGCUUGAUUUUGACAGUAGUAUAAGGAUUAAAUUAAGUAUUAUUAUACUGCCCAUCACACAACCUACUAUACGGUAAUAUUCUCAAUAUAAUAUUUUUAAAUGUUUAUAGCUAACUACAGAAAAACAAUCUGGUCCAAUAGUAACCUGGGCUUUUCAAAGCUUAAUCAAAGUAACAAUAGAAAAUACCCCUUGUUGAGCUAGGAGUGUAGCUCAAUGGCAGAGCACUUGCUUAAUGUGUGUGAGGCCCUGAAUUCAAUC